RNAcentral lists this unclassified non-coding RNA (373 nucleotides) under Hevea brasiliensis (rubber tree). The record is from RNAcentral. Lineage: Eukaryota; Viridiplantae; Streptophyta; Magnoliopsida; Malpighiales; Euphorbiaceae.
GGGAAUUUGAAGUUUGCGGGCGAGGGAUUCAGUCCAUCCGAGGAAGAAAUCAGAAAUAAUGGCGGAGGGAGGUGAAGGGUGAGAUUUGAACCACUCAAGAACAGGGUCUUGGAGUUGGCGGAGAGCCACCAUGAUGGGGACGUUGCCUUGGCCGCCGAUGUCUUUGACAUUUUCAACACCGGGAGGCAAAUCAGGGACAGAAGGGAAAGGGAGAACAAGGGUUUGAACUAAAGGGUGAGCUGAAAGAAGGGGUUGAAGGAUGGGGAGGUUUUUGGGGGUUACCAAAAUAGUGAUGGUGAAGCCAUAAGAAGCUAAGAAAUGGGUGAGAUCGAGGAGUGGGAGCAUAUGGCCUUGAGCUGGGUAUGGGAAAACC